This 638-nucleotide ribosomal RNA is filed under the name uncultured marine eukaryote. RNAcentral's name for it is "SSU rRNA". It matches the Rfam family "Eukaryotic small subunit ribosomal RNA", at positions 613 to 1251 of the family's 1831-position model. The record is from RNAcentral.
UUGCGGUUAAAAAGCUCGUAGUUGGAUCUCGGCGGGCAGGGGGUGGUUCGCUCUUCAGCGCUACUGCCCCGCUUUGCCCGUGUGAUUGGCGGAGGUUUCGGGGUGCUCUUCGUUGAGUGACUCGGAGCGCCGUCAGGUUUACUUUGAAAAAAUUAGAGUGCUCAAAGCAGGCUUUUCACGCUUGAAUAUUCGUGCAUGGAAUAAUGGAAUAGGAACUCGUUUCUAUUUUGUUGGUUUUCGGAAAUCGAGUUAAUGAUUAACAGGGACAAUUGGGGGCAUUAGUAUUCAGACGACAGAGGUGAAAUUCUUGGACCGUCUGAAGACUGACUACUGCGAAAGCAUUUGCCAAGAGUGUUUUCAUUAAUCAAGAACGAAAGUUAGAGGUUCGAAGGCGAUCAGAUACCGCCCUAGUUCUAACCAUAAACGAUGCCAGCUAGCGAUCUGCCGAGUUUUUUUUGUAGGCUCCGCAGGAAGCUUUCGGGAAACCAAAGCUUUUGGGUUCCGGGGGAAGUAUGGUUGCAAAGCUGAAACUUAAAGGAAUUGACGGAAGGGCACCACCAGGAGUGGAGCCUGCGGCUUAUUUUGACUCAACACGGGAAAUCUCACCAGGCCGGACACUGGAAGGAUUGACAGAUUGA